AUGGACUGGAGAGCCAAGGGAGCCGUCACUCCUGUCAAGGAUCAAGGCCAGUGUGGCUGUUGUUGGGCAUCUUCUGCUGUUGCCGCGACAGAGGGCAUUGUAAAACUGAAAACUGGGAAGUUGAUCUCACUGUCGGAGCAAGAGUUGGUUGACUGUGAUGUUCAUGGUGAAGAUCAAGGCUGCGAGGGAGGACUCCCAUAUAUUGCAGCUGACGGCAAGUGCAAGGCUGGAUCCAACAGUGCCGCAACCAUCACUGGCUUUGAGGAUGUGCCUGCCAACAACGAGGGCGCCCUUAUGAAGGCGGUGGCAAACCAACCCAUGUCUGUAGCUGUGGAUGGAGGAGACAUGACGUUCCAAUUCUACUCUGGUGGGGUCAUGACUAGCUAG
Molecule: ribosomal RNA, 387 nt
Filed under: Triticum aestivum (bread wheat)
Lineage: Eukaryota; Viridiplantae; Streptophyta; Magnoliopsida; Poales; Poaceae
Description: partial small subunit ribosomal RNA
Source: RNAcentral